This 90-nucleotide microRNA precursor is filed under the name Canis lupus familiaris (dog). Its description in RNAcentral is "mir-8799 microRNA precursor family". It matches the Rfam family "mir-8799 microRNA precursor family". The record is from Rfam by way of RNAcentral. Lineage: Eukaryota; Metazoa; Chordata; Mammalia; Carnivora; Canidae. RNAcentral also lists the same sequence under 1 other name.
AGGGGAGCGCCGGAUCCUGGGCUGUGUCCCUGGCGCCCUGUGCUCCCAGGCCUGCUGCUGGGAUCGCGUCCGGGGGCCUCGCAGCCCCCU